RNAcentral lists this ribosomal RNA (499 nucleotides) under uncultured Glomeromycotina. RNAcentral describes it as "partial small subunit ribosomal RNA". It matches the Rfam family "Eukaryotic small subunit ribosomal RNA", at positions 591 to 1092 of the family's 1831-position model. Lineage: Eukaryota; Fungi; Glomeromycota. The record is from RNAcentral.
CCAAUAGCGUAUAUUAAAGUUGUUGCAGUUAAAAAGCUCGUAGUUGAAUUUCGAGACCGGUUUAUUGGUCGUGCUUUUGUACGUACUGGUAUUAUUGGUUUCUCCUUUCUGACGAAUCUUAAUGCCAUUAAUUUGGUGUUUUGGGGAAUCAGGACUGUUACUUUGAAAAAAUUAGAGUGUUUAAAGCAGGCUCACGCUUGAAUACAUUAGCAUGGAAUAACGGAAUAGGACGUUUGAUUCUAUUUUGUUGGUUUCUAGGAUCGACGUAAUGAUUAAUAGGGAUAGCUGGGGGCAUUAGUAUUCAAUUGUCAGAGGUGAAAUUCUUGGAUUUAUUGAAGACUAACUACUGCGAAAGCAUUUGCCAAGGAUGUUUUCAUUAAUCAAGAACGAAAGUUAGGGGAUCGAAGACGAUCAGAUACCGUCGUAGUCUUAACCAUAAACUAUGCCGACUAGGGAUCGGAUGAUGUUAAUUUUUUAAUGACUCAUUCGGCGCCUUACG